GAAUUGGCACCUCCAGAGUGGGAAUGUUGAGGUGUUCCACAGUGUCGACAAGUGCUGUGGGUUAAGUCUCUGGACUCCUCCACAUCCACACAAGGCCUGAGCUGUGCUGGUUUUCUCUGCAGCAUCAACUUCAAUCAGGAUGCGUCCCUCAUCUGCGUAUCCAGCGACCACGGCACAGUGCAUAUUUUUGCAGCUGAAGAUCCAAAAAGGAAUAAACAGUCCAGUUUGGCCUCAGCCAGUUUCCUUCCAAAA
Molecule: non-coding RNA, 252 nt
Filed under: Pan troglodytes (chimpanzee)
Lineage: Eukaryota; Metazoa; Chordata; Mammalia; Primates; Hominidae
Also listed under: 1 other name
Source: RNAcentral